This 175-nucleotide unclassified non-coding RNA is filed under the name uncultured Penicillium. RNAcentral describes it as "sequence contains ITS1". The record is from RNAcentral. Lineage: Eukaryota; Fungi; Ascomycota; Eurotiomycetes; Eurotiales; Aspergillaceae.
CUGAGUGAGGGCCCUCUGGGUCCAACCUCCCACCCGUGUUUAUUGUACCUUGUUGCUUCGGCGAGCCCGCCGUCAUGGCCGCCGGGGGACUCACCCUCCCCGGGCCCGCGCUCGCCGAAGACACCCUCGAACUCUGUCUGAAGAUUGUAGUCUGAGUGGAAUUAUAAAUUAUUUA